This 253-nucleotide ribosomal RNA is filed under the name uncultured bacterium. Its description in RNAcentral is "partial 16S ribosomal RNA". It matches the Rfam family "Bacterial small subunit ribosomal RNA", at positions 524 to 776 of the family's 1533-position model. The record is from RNAcentral.
UACGAAGGGGGCUAGCGUUGUUCGGAAUUACUGGGCGUAAAGGGCGCGUAGGCGGCUUUAUAAGUCAGGCGUGAAAGCCCCGGGCUUAACCUGGGAACUGCGCUUGAGACUGUAAGGCUUGAGUACCGGAGAGGUGGGUGGAAUUCCCAGUGUAGAGGUGAAAUUCGUAGAUAUUGGGAAGAACACCGGUGGCGAAGGCGGCCCACUGGACGGUUACUGACGCUGAGGCGCGAAAGCGUGGGGAGCAAACAGG